RNAcentral lists this ribosomal RNA (424 nucleotides) under uncultured bacterium. RNAcentral describes it as "partial 16S ribosomal RNA". It matches the Rfam family "Bacterial small subunit ribosomal RNA", at positions 359 to 774 of the family's 1533-position model. The record is from RNAcentral.
GAAUAUUGGACAAUGGGGGGAACCCUGACCCAGCCAUGCCGCGGGGGUGAAGAAGCCCUUUUGGUUGUAAACCACUUUAAGCGGGGAGAAGGUGACUUUGAUUAAUACUCUAGCACAGUGGACGUCAGUCCCAGCAUCAGCACCGGCUAACGCUGUGCCAGCAGCCGCGGUAAUACAGAGGGUGCAAGCGUUAGUCGGAUUUACUGGGCGUAAAGCGCGCGUAGGUGGCCAAUUAAGUCAAAUGUGAAAGCCCCGAGCUUAACUUGGGAAUUGCAUUCGAUACUGGUUGGCUAGAGUAUGGGAGAGGAUGGUAGAAUUCCAGGUGUAGCGGUGAAAUGCGUAGAGAUCUGGAGGAAUACCGAUGGCGAAGGCAGCCAUCUGGCCUAAUACUGACACUGAGGUGCGAAAGCAUGGGGAGCAAACA